CUACCGGGGUAUCUAAUCCUGUUUGCUCCCCACGCUUUCGCACCUCAGCGUCAAUACCUGUCCAGUGAGUCGCCUUCGCCACUGGUGUUCUUCCGAAUAUCUACGAAUUUCACCUCUACACUCGGAAUUCCACUCACCUCUCCAGGAUUCUAGCUGUCUAGUUUCAAAGGCAGUUCCGGGGUUGAGCCCCGGCCUUUCACCUCUGACUUAAACAGCCGCCUACGCGCGCUUUACGCCCAGUAAUUCCGAACAACGCUAGCUCCCUCCGUAUUACCGCGGCUGCUGGCAC
This 289-nucleotide ribosomal RNA is filed under the name uncultured Sphingomonadales bacterium. RNAcentral describes it as "partial 16S ribosomal RNA". The record is from RNAcentral. Lineage: Bacteria; Pseudomonadati; Pseudomonadota; Alphaproteobacteria; Sphingomonadales.